CCCAGCGGGGAACCGGAACUCCCACCCCUAACCAGCAGUUAACGACCAACUCCCACCCCCUCUCCAAACUUGGGAGUCAACAGGAACUGAGUGAGAAACCUGGAUUCUUGAGCAUUUAUUCCAGAGAAAUGAAAACUUAUAUUUACCAAAAAAUCUUUACACAGACUAGUAGCUUUAUUUGAAGUCACUAAUCACGAGAAACAAUCCAGAUGUCCUUCAACUGGUGAAUGGUUAAACAAACUGGAAUAUUACUCAUAAUAUAAACAAACUCAUAAUAUAAACAAACUUGGAAUAUGACUCAGCAAUAAAAGCGAAAGAACUACUGAUACGUAGAACAACCAACAUGGAUGGAUCUCGAGAGACUUACUGUGAUGAGGUGGCGGCAUGGUUAAGCUGAUGGAUCGCUAAUCUGUCAUGCCCUGCACACGUGGAUUCAAAUCCCAUUGCUGUCAAUUUCGUGACAUUGUGGCUACAGAGUGAGGUUUCAAUGCUUUGUGGGUGAGAAGAUUCACCAGGUUUUGUUGGAAGUGGCUGCAGGGGAGAAAAAAAGAAGAACAGGAGUGUAUUAUUUCUUAAAAUUGCAUGUGAAUCUAAAAUUACCUCAAAAUUAAAAUCUUAAUUGAAAUAAAUGCGGAGCUAAUUAGGUGGUUUUUCUGGUUUUCAAGAAGUUGCAACAUCAGAAUGGAUUGGAAGUAAGAACCUGAAGGAAGAAGGCCAAAUAGGAGACAAAAAUCAAGUUAUCAGCCAUUCGUUGGAAAACCAACUCAUCAUAAGUAUUGAAAUAUCUAUUCCAUUGAUAUCAUUUUAUGUCAUAAGAAUAGUUGACUGAUUAGUGACAGUCAACAGUCAAUAAUUGACUGAUUAUCCAAGACACGACUGUCCUUUACCAAAAAGAGCUCAGUCUUCCCUCGGCUGAGGUUUCCUUCUCUGUAGAACUCAAAGACCAGCAGAAUGGAAAUAUUGAUUAAAACACAAACCGUAUUUAGCUCAAUUACUGAAGCAGUAACAGAAACAGAAUGGAUCAUUGCAAUGAUUUUACCGUAAACAUGUUCUUUUAACCAACAGGAGGUAUGUAUGAAGCAUCUAUAUGUCAAAUGACAAAAUUUACUUUAAGCAUAAUCUUUAAGAUCUGGAGAGUGGGACAUGCCCAAACUCAGCUAUGGAAGACAUUAAAUAUGAAACGCUUUUCUUUUAAGACUGUCCACUGCCCUUUUCUGCAACAGCUUCUCCCUUUUGCUAAUUUCUUGGCCUCCAUCUGUCAAAUAUUUUCUGCUAAGGGCUCCAGGAGGUCCAACCAGGAAGAACCUCUUGUGCUCAGGGUAAUCUGAGAGUAUUAAUCUUGUGGAGUAGUUCUCAAACUUUGACCACAGAAAUCUAGGAUCAUAGGUCUGUGAGAUCAUUUUUAGAUAUCUGUAAAGUUAAAACUCUUUUUUAUAUUAUUAUUUUAUUUUAUUUUAUUUUGCUUUAUUUCAUUUCAUUUUAUUGUUUUACCUUUCAUUGUUUCAUCUGCAGUAAUGAUGUAAAAGCCAUGAUAGGUAAAGCUGUUGACAUCUUUGUCUAAAUCAAAGCAGUGACAUGAAAACUACUGUCUCUGUACAUUUUACUGCCACAAACUGGCUGUUUUUCUUAAAGUCACUUUCACCUAAGAAUGCCUUUGAUGAGGCAAUAAGUAUUUAUUUCAUUAAAUUUCAAUCCUUGAGGGCAACUCUUUUAACAUCCUGUGAGACAAAAUGAGACGUUUGCAUAGAGAACUGCGGCUGCAUUCCAAAGAAUGGUUGUCUUUAGUACAAGCUCUUGUGUGAUUAAGCUGUGAGCUCAACAAGCUGAUUUUUUAUUAGAACCACAUUUUUACUUGAACAAAUAUCUGACAAACUAUGGUGAUUCACACUUGGAAUAUUUUUGUGAAAAUGAACAGAGUGAGCCAAAUAGUUAUUGUUGUCAAUGAUAAAAUUCAAGCUGUCAAGCAAACAUUGGAGUUUGUGAAAACUUGUCUCAGCACUGCAAGCCUGCUGGCUUCCUAAUACUUAAGACUUUCCUGAUGAGACUGAUGGUGAUAUUAGCGAAUAUAGUGUUCUGGUCUUGUGUAUUCAAUUUGGAAGAUCUUUACAACUUAGCAAACCAGCAUUUGUCAAAUGAUCAGUAUAUGGUGUUACAAAAUAAAACAUGGGAGAAGACCUGUUCAAAAUGCAAGAUAGAACAAUGGAUUGCAAUGUAUCACAAUGCAAAACGUGAUUAGUAUGGCUUCAGAUUCUGUAUUGCAGCUAAUCAUCAAAAAAAAAAAAACAAAAAAAACAAGUUGUUGGGACGCCUGGGUGGCUCAGUUGGUUGUGUAUCUGACUCUUGAUUUCGUCUCAGGGCAUGAUCCCAAGGUGGUGGGAUCGAGCCCCCACAUUGGACUCGUCACUGAGCGUGGGGUCUGCUUAAGAUUCUCUAUAUCUCUCCCUCUGCCCCCACUCAUGCUUUCUCUCUCUCUAAAAUAAAAAUUAAAAAAAAAAAAACCCAACAAGUUGUGAAGUUUUGGUGUCGUAUCAAAAAGCAUAUCCGCAAUUAUUUGAAAGGACUACUAAAAUACUCCUCCCUUUUCCAACUCUAUCUGAGAGUUCAAUUUUCCUCAAAUACUUCCAUCAAAACAACACAUUAAAACAGAUCAAAAGUAAACAGUAAAUCAGCGAAAACAGCUGCAAUCUAUUCAGCAGACACGAGACAGUUACAAAAUGUAAAGUGACACCUUUCUCACAAAAUUUUUAUUUGGAAAAAUACAGUUACCUUUUCAUAAAAUAUGCAACUCGUGUUAAUAUCUAACAGGUUUGUUAUCAUUUUAAAACACAUUAAUAAAUAUGUUUAAAUUUU
Panthera uncia (snow leopard) is the source of this 2850-nucleotide long non-coding RNA. RefSeq lists it as uncharacterized. NCBI's taxonomy places the organism in Eukaryota, Metazoa, Chordata, Mammalia, Carnivora, Felidae. The transcript is spliced from 2 exons. The record is from RefSeq and is a predicted model, not a curated record.